This 1108-nucleotide long non-coding RNA is filed under the name Mus pahari (shrew mouse). RNAcentral's name for it is "lncRNA (MGP_PahariEiJ_G0002590.1)". Lineage: Eukaryota; Metazoa; Chordata; Mammalia; Rodentia; Muridae. The record is from RNAcentral.
GUCCGUCGCCUCGCAGACUUUACCGCCAGAGAUGUAGGCUCCUUGUGCGUCCGUGGUCCUUAAUUGGAAGCCACUCCCGAGUAUUAGGAAGGGAGGGAGAGACUUAUUUGCGUUCCCAUUGUUUGUGGCUCACUUAGGAGACCCUGGAGCCGCAAACUCUCGGUUAGAGCGUUUGCUUUCCGCCUCUGGGAGGAAACGCAGACUUUAAGCUGCUUUUUUUUUUUUUUUUUUUUUUUUUUUAAGACUUAGUCCUCCUCCAUAGUAAAUGCAGUUCAAAAGCUCCAGUUGUAAUGGACCGGCGAUUUUUCUUGACCUGUUAAUUUGAGGCAAGGUUUCUGUAGUUCAUGAUGGACUGGAUGUAUAGUGAAGUCUCCAAGCUUCCUGGAAGUAAUGAUUGGAGGGGAGAGGUACCACGUCUUCUCAUUUUGUUCCAGCCCAGCAUGGCCUACAGAGUGAGACCCUGUCUCAAAAAAAAAAAAAAAAAGAGAGGGCUGAAAAGAUGGCUCAGCACCUGCUGCUCUUCCAGAGGACCCAGUCGUAUGACAUCUACACUUCUUACAAUUUCCUCAUAUGAAAUGCACCACGAUCCUCUCAGUCAAGAAAAAUCUUGGGCUUCCUCGUCAGCCCCCAGCCUCUAGACAUCUUGCUGAAUCUCUGGAAUCGCUCUUCUUUCCCUCAGAGUUCCUCUUUAACAUUCUGUUUUAUAAAUCCGGCACGUGAGAUUUUAAUGGCUCUGUUGCAGCUUUCUCUUCUUCAGUCAGUAGAGUUAGCUAGAAAAACAAAGGACAAAAUGUUUAUUUCGAAACCUUCAAAGGAUGUUAAAUGAGUUAAAUUUUGCUUCAUUGCACAAAUUUUUUUAUAAUCUUAUACUACAUAUUUAGUCUUGAAACUUGAAAGGCAAGGGAAAACAAUAGCUAUCAGGCUAUUUAUAUACUAUAGUUGGGCUUUCAAAGAACUUGCAAUUAGGCUGUACAAACAAGAUCAAGAAAGCAAACAAAUGAUUAUCAUUUAACAGAACUAAAUGUAUGUUUGAAUACCAUAUUUGGAAAAGAGAUUGGGACCCAGAGAAAUAAUUGUGUGCUGAAUUUUGAAGACCCCAUCUCAAAAA